This is a non-coding RNA of Otolemur garnettii (small-eared galago), 221 nucleotides long. Lineage: Eukaryota; Metazoa; Chordata; Mammalia; Primates; Galagidae. The record is from Rfam.
UUUUUAGCCUAUAAAAGAUAAUGGAACAUGUUUUAUACACUGGAUUUUAUCUCAUCCCCUUUCCCUCUCUGGACUACACUCAGUUUAAUAGUUGUCAGUUUUUCCUCAAUGUUAGAUUUAAUUAUAUAGGAACAAAAUAGUCCUCAGUAAAUUAGUUUGCUAAGUAGUCUCACGUUUGUGAUUUCCCCUUUGAGAAAUAGUUUAAUUACAGAGAUCUACCU